UGUGAGUGUGGAGGAAGUCUUAGGGGAGGCUCUCAAUAGAAUAUUCCUCAGCUUUCUGCUGAUGUAGCAAGAUGAGAUGUAUUCUCUUAACUUCAUCUCUACUUGGGUGUGGUUGGCAA
This is a long non-coding RNA of Myotis davidii, 119 nucleotides long. RefSeq lists it as uncharacterized. NCBI's taxonomy places the organism in Eukaryota, Metazoa, Chordata, Mammalia, Chiroptera, Vespertilionidae. The record is from RefSeq and is a predicted model, not a curated record. The transcript is spliced from 3 exons.